This 516-nucleotide ribosomal RNA is filed under the name uncultured bacterium. RNAcentral's name for it is "partial 16S ribosomal RNA". It matches the Rfam family "Bacterial small subunit ribosomal RNA", at positions 323 to 858 of the family's 1533-position model. The record is from RNAcentral.
GGGAGGCAGCUCUCUCUUAUGAGGGACCACUGGGGAAAAUUUUGUCCAGUGGGGGAACCCUAGACAAAGAAGUCGCGUGAGUGAGGAAAGUUUUUUGGUGAUAAAUAAAAGUCUUUUGGGGGGACAGAAGAAGCGGUUCCCAUUAAGGAAGCCCCGGCUAAAUACGUGCCAGCAGCCGCGGUAAUACGUAGGGGGCCAGCGUUGUCCGGAAUUACUGGGCGUAAAGGGGGCGUAGGCGGCAUUUUAAGUCAUAUGUGAAAACCCAGGGCUUAACUGUGGGGGAGCAUAUGAAACUGGGGGGCUUGAGUGCAGGAGAGGAAAGCGGGAAUCCCCGUGUGUAGCGGAAAUCCCCUAGAUCGGGUGAGGAACACCGGGGGAAAGCGGGUCUUCUGGGGGUAAUCGACGCUGUGGCGCGAAAAAGUGGGGGGCGAACACGGUUUGAUACCCCGGGUGUUCCCACCCUAAAAGAAGGAUAAUAGGGUAGGGGGUUGCACCCCUUCUGUGCCGCAGUAACGC